GAUACACCUGUUCCCAUGCCGAACACAGAAGUUAAGCUUCUUAGCGCCGAUUGUAGUGAAGGGUUUCCCUUUGUGAGAGUAGGACGUCGCCACGC
This 95-nucleotide ribosomal RNA is filed under the name Enterococcus quebecensis. The record is from RNAcentral. Lineage: Bacteria; Bacillati; Bacillota; Bacilli; Lactobacillales; Enterococcaceae. RNAcentral also lists the same sequence under 1 other name.